GGUGAGAUGGCUCAUUGGUUAAGAGUGUGGACUGCUCUUCCAAAGGUCCUGAGUUCAAAUCCCAGCAACCA
Molecule: transfer RNA, 71 nt
Filed under: Mus musculus (house mouse)
Lineage: Eukaryota; Metazoa; Chordata; Mammalia; Rodentia; Muridae
Description: tRNA-Ser
Source: RNAcentral